Molecule: non-coding RNA, 92 nt
Organism: Tulasnella sp. 417
Lineage: Eukaryota; Fungi; Basidiomycota; Agaricomycetes; Cantharellales; Tulasnellaceae
Source: the annotation of a GenBank genome assembly
UCCCUUAUAGCUCAGUGGUAGAGCGCGUCACUAGUACACGCCGUUCAGGUGGUGACAUGACGAGGUCCAUAGUUCAAGUCUGUGUGAGGGAA